Molecule: long non-coding RNA, 9483 nt
Filed under: Lactuca sativa (garden lettuce)
Lineage: Eukaryota; Viridiplantae; Streptophyta; Magnoliopsida; Asterales; Asteraceae
Description: long non-coding RNA (LSAT_LNC010280)
Source: RNAcentral
GACUUUGCUUUACCUUAUGACACAAGCAACCACCCCCACACCCACUCUAUGCCCAGCCACACCUCCCCACCUUACCUAGGUCACUUCAAUGUCCUUUCUACUCAAUCUUCAGCCUCUCCCACGUCCUUAGAGCUGGAACAUCCAACCUCUCUCCUCACUUCACUCAUUUUCUCUCAUUUUACCAAGGAUCAAACUCAACUUUUCACUCAACCUUUCUCCCUCAAUUUCGGAUAUCAAGGCUGAUCAUAAAGCUUCCUUACACUCUUGGUAAGUAUAAUUCAUCCUCUUAGUGAUAAUUAUCCUUCAUUCUACUCCAAUCAUAGAUUGCUUACACAAAUUCCAUCACUUUGGUGUUAGAUUCUCGAAAAUCUUCUAGGCAUCUUCAAGUGUUCUUGAGUUGAACACUUCUCAUCUCCAACAGUCAUCUACUAAAACCUUUUAAGGUGAGUUCAUACCCCUAUCUUUUCAAGACUAUACAAGGUGCAAGUAUUUAAAUUCCUUAGCUUUAAAAUGGCUACUUGCACAUCUCCAUACGACUUUUCUACGAUUUAUGGCAAUUUUUACAAAACUGCCUAUCAUUUCAAACAUCAAUCCGGACCAGUCUGUGAUUAUGGACUUUUUCACACUAGUUAGAGGUCACUAAAAAUCAUUAAAAAAAUUAUAGAGAAACUAGACUCAUUUUCCAAACUCUCAGAAUUUACGGAUUCUGAUUUGGACCUUUGAUGAUUGUUCUACAAAUUUCCUAAGAACGGUGAUAGAAAAUGUUAUCAACAGAAAAAUGCUAUCAAUUUCAUUUCACCUUGUAACAUGUUGAGCAAGGUGUAUAUCUUUAUGUGAUUAUAUGUUAUUGUAAUAUAUGACAUUAUUGUCUUGGUAUAUAGACAUACAUCAGUUAAAAAAUAGAUUUUGCUAGAUAAAGCAUAGAAAUAACAAUUUGUUAUAAUCAAAGUACAUCUAUUACAUACAAACAUUUGAAUAGACUAUGUUAAGUAUAGUUUACGUACAUUACCACUAUUACCCUUGUCUUGAUAAACUAUAAUAGGUAUAGUUUAUGAUACAUCACAUAACACACUCAUAUAAAAAGGGUACAUUUAUACAAAAAGGGAUUUUCAUUACAUUACACGUGAAUUCGUUAAUGACUUUUGUGAGGCAUUCGCUUCACUUUACCAAUAAGUCUUGAUUUGUAACCAGAGUCUCCUGGAGGGAGAGCAUGAUAGUUGUAUAUAGAUCUAUAUUGGGAUUGACAAACCCACACCUAAGCUGCUUGCAACAGCUAGACCGGCAGGUCUGAGGUGACAAAUGUCAUAACAGUUCCGACGCCUGAAGAACAUCGUUUCAGGCCAACUAGGUCAUAGCAUGGUUAUAAUAGCUCACAUUAAGUAUUAACAAACAUAGAAUUUACAGGGAAUUCAUGUAAAUCAAACGAGUUUAUGUAGAUUUAAACUUGCAUUAUUUUUUCAUAAGUAUAAUAAAUUACUUGUACACUUCGGUCUUUGGGUUUUAAGACUACUUUCAUAUAUUAAGGAAAAUAUUGGAUUUUUCUAGAACAAACACUACUUUUACAUGAAAAAGCUUUUCAUAAACUGCCUACAAAUGCUUAUGAACUCACCAACCUUUGUGUUGACACUUUUUCAAACAACUUGUAUUCUCAGGAAAUCACUAAACAGGUAACCAAGUGCUUUUAAGGAUGGGACAUUAAGGCGUCAAACAUUUCACAUUUUGUCAACGUAUUGUAAUUGAUUUGGAAACAUGUAAUUCAUACAAUGAUAUAACUCUUUCUAUUAUAUAUAUGUUGGUUGUGUUUGCUUAAAUCACUAUUGCAAUUGUUGUUAUGAUGCUAUACAUGAAGUCCUCCACCUCCGGACGUUUCCGCCAUCCUUGGUUUGGGGGUGUGACAGAUUGGUAUCAGAGCACGGUUUAUACUGAAUUAAGUAUAUCAAACCACAUAAGAUAUACAAACUAUAAACACAUUUGGGACGAAAAGUCUCUGAUUUUAGAACAUUUUAAUGGGAUAUACUUUUAGAAAAUAAAUAGUUUUCUUGUUUAAAGUAUACAUGCAUGCUCGCGUAGUGUCAUAACUAGGUGAACAUAAAGUAAAAGAAGAGGAGUUGUACACCAUGAGUAUGACUUGGUGUAUGUGAAUCAAGUCUGGGAGCGAUAUAGCCUGAUCAACUAUAUAUGUCCGAGAAGUGACUUACAUAUACCAGGGGAUAGUCAUAGUGGGCAACGAAUCUAAUAACCUAACAUCACCCUCCAAAGAACGCUCUAAGAACCAAAUCUAAACACUUAAAGUACUAUAGGAGUAUUUGUAUGAUUGCUAUAGCACGAUAUUAUUAUCAACCGUUGCAUGCUACUUACACCCCUAUUCUCACACAAACGACAUGGCAGGGUUUCACCUACCAGGAGACCCAUACUUUCCCAAUCAGGGAAAUGUCGGAUGGAUUGAAGAAGAGCCCGAAGAACCAAUUGAAGAGGAUCCCGAAGAGGAACCCGAAGAUGAAGAAGAGGAGGAAGAUGAAGAAGAAAAAGAAGAAGACGUCGAGAUAGACAUGGAUGAAGACGAAAGUGAACAAGAACCAGAAGUCUUCAACCCUCCUUACAUCGCGAGGGUGCCUGCAAACCACUUUGGGUACAACGGGCCUGAGCCCCAUUGGGCAACAACGAUUGAGAGGUGGAGCCGACAACAACGCCAGUGGUCACCAUAUGGCGACCAACAUGGUUACUACGACCUCAGCCACGGGGGACUGGCUGAUAGAGCCCUCCCAGUCAUGACUCGACAGAUAGCGAUAAUGGAUGAUCGCGGUAGGACGACGACCGAUCAGGUACGGGAGCUAAGUGCCAUCAUAGAGUCUACCACUGCUCGCACCAAAGACCUGGAACGAGACUCCCACUACAGAGACCAACUCAUUCAUGACCUUCUCGCUGCUCGAGCAGAAGCAAGGGAGUAUCGGGAAAGAUACAUGGCGCUUGAGGAGAGAAUGGUUGCAGCCGAACGGAUAUUGGCAGAACUACAAGGCGCAUCGACAACAUCCCAAGCUCCACCAGGGAAGCAUCGUCGUGAGUAGGACUCGCUACUACUCACACACCUUCGUAGUAUAGGUUUUCGAGCAUGCGUUGGUGCUACUCUUUUGUAUGUAGGUUGACCCUGCGACUAAGUGAUUACAUUAUUCAAAAAGGAUUUUGUGCUGUCAAAACUAUCUUUUGCAUUGAUGUAAUGUAGACCCUUGUGAGAUCAAAUUUUCUCAAAACAAUAUGUACUAAAAAGUUAUCAAUGAAUUUGGCAUGCAUUUUACUUCAUUGGAUGUUGACAUGAGAUUUUACUAUGUGGUAUUACAAACAUUUUACAACUGAUAACUCUAAGGUUUUAAGUGUACCUCGUUGUUAUGUGUAAUUAAAACAGUAAUCGACCUAGAAAUGGUGAGUCCGCCUUAGGACCUGUUCCUUGUUUGGUUAUGGACUUAGGGCAGACUCAUUAGUAUCAACAACUUAUUAAAAUUUUAAUUACACAUAACUGGGGCACAUCGAGCGAAUCUGAGGAGUGAGUCAGACACGAAACCAAGCACAUGACUCUAUUUGGGUCAACACUAUUUAAUUCAUAAGCUUAACCGCAUAAACUUUUUUAUGAAUUACCCGCUAAUGUAAUAAACUCGAGAUAUAAUACAAAUGAGAUAAAACAGGUAACACUCACCUCGUUAUUACUAUUGAAGUCUUAGCGACUUGUCAUUUUAAAAUUAUGACAGAACUAUGCCACCAAAGAAAAGACCAAGACCUUCCGGUAGCGCAGAAACACCUCCUCCGCCGCCACCACCACAAUUUGACCCAACAAUGUUCCAGGCUGCAGUAACAACAACUGUGGCGGCAGCUAUGUCACAAACCAACCCUAAUGGCAAUGUUGGAUCCGGAUCUGGUGCUACACCCUCUAACCAGGGUUACAGUUCGGGGCGCAAAAAGGAAUGCACCUACAAGGACUUCACAAAUGGCAAACCCGAUACCUUCAAUGGGAGCGGGGACAUCAUCACACUGAUGCAAUGGUUCGAAAGGACUGAAGCAGUCUUCAAAAUCUGUGCUUGUCCCAAAGCGAGCAAGGUCAAGUUCGCGGCAUUCACUUUCACCGGUAGGGCUCUCACUUGGUGGAAUGGCCGAGUUAAAUCACUUACUCUCGCAGUGGCUAACUCCAUAAGCUAGGAAGAUUUGAAAGCGUUGAUGCUAAAGGAGUAUUGCCCGAGGGGCGAGAUACAAAAACUCAAAGAAGAACUCUGGAACCUCAGAAUGUCGGGCACAAAUCUUGAAACUUACACUGCCCGGUUCAAUGACCUAGCACUCCUCUGUCCAACAAUGGUCACUCCAGAGGGGAAAAAGGUGGAACGAUACCUCUGGGGACUAUCAUCCCAGAUUCAAGAUAGUGUACUGGCCUCGAAACCUACUACCUUUGAGAGUGCGAAGGAAUUGGCACAGCAACAUAUCGAUCACAGGGCCAGCCGUGGUACCGUGAUCACCACCACCGACCAAGCAAAAGGAGGAAACAACAAGAGGAAGUUCUGGAACCAUAAAAAGAAGCAAUCGGCACUGGACCCCGCCAAGAAGCAACAGACUGUUGUUGUCUAUGCUGCCACUACUGCUACCACUCUAGCACCACCGAAGCAAUAUGUUGGAAAUCUCCCUAAGUGCAACAAGUGCAACUACCACCACAAUGGUGCUUGUCGGGAAAUGCACUGCAAAAAUUGCGACAAGAAAGGGCAUACCGUUCGUUUCUGUAAAGCGCCAGCACAACCGAACAACCAAGUUUUCAAUGCGGGGGAAGCCAAACCUGCUAUGGAUGUGGUGAAGCAGGACACUUCAGGAGAAAAUACCCCAAAUCACAAGCUCCUAAUGUUAGUGGUGUAGGGAGGGUCCUGGGAAUAGGACACAGGGAAGCAGUCAAGGAUCCUAAAGUGGUUACUGGUACGUUCCUCCUCAAUAACUCUUAUGCAUGUGUACUUUUCGAUUGUGGGGCAGAAAGGAGUCUUGUGAGCCACCAAUUCAAACAUUUACUUAAACAAAAUCCCAGUCAUUAAAAGAUUCAUACGUCGUAGAAAUGGCAAACAGAAAGGUUGAGCGCGCUAAUGAUAUUUACAUAGGGUGUACCCUCACUCUAGACAACCAUUCGUUCAAAAUCGAUCUAAUGCCAGUCACAAUAAAAAGUUUCGACAUCAUCAUUGGUAUGAAUUGGUUAAGUUCUAAUCAUGCCGACAUUUUAUGUUACAAAAGGGCCGUCCGCCUUAAUCUGCCAAAUGAUGAAACUCUUCUCGUCUAUGGCGAUAAACCCAAUACAAACCUACAAAUCAUUUCUUGCGUCAGGGCUCAAAACUAUCUCCGAAAGGAAUACCAUGCCUUCUUAGCCCACGUCGUAGAUAAGAAUCAAGGGGUGAAGUACAUCUAAGACAUUCCGGAAGUGUGCAACUUCCCCGACCUAUUCCCAGAAGAUCUAACAGGUGUACCGCUCGCACGACAAGUCGAAUUCCGAACCGACUUGGUUCCCGAUGCUACCCCCUUAGCCAAAGCACCAUAUCGCCUCGCACUGGCAGAAAUGCAAGCGUUGUCUAGUCAAAUGAGCGAACUAUUAAGCAAGGGAUUCAUCAGACCAAGCUUUUCGCCCUGGGGAUCACCAGUCCUAUUUGUGAAAAAGAAGGAUGGAUCCUUUAGCAUGUGCAUUGACUAUCGGGAGCUAAACAAACUUACCAUCAAGAAUCGAUAUCCCCUACCCCGAAUCAACGACCUCUUCGACCAACUUCAGGGAGCAAGCUAUUUUUCAAAAAUCGACAUGAGGUCGAGUUACCAUCAACUGCGAGUUUAAGAAGAAGAUAUCCCCAAGACGACAUUCAGAACUCACUAUGGACACUACGACUUUGUAGUGAUGCCAUUCGGAUUAACAAACGCGCCUGCGGUGUUCAUGGAUCUGAUGAACCAAGUGUGUCGACCCUUCCUAGACAAAUUUGUGAUCGUGUUCAUCGAUGAUAUUUUGGUCUAUUCGAGAAGCGAAGAAGAGCACAACCAACAUCUGGGACUAGUAUUGGAGACUUUAAGAGCCGAGAAGCUUUAUGCUAAGUUUUCAAAGUGCGAAUUUUGGCUCAUAGAAGUGGGAUUCCAUGGCCACAUAAUUAGCUAGAAAGGGAUACAUGUGGAUCCCUCAAAGAUCAAAUCGAUCGAAAGCUGGUUAGCACCUACAACACCGACAGAAAUCCGACAAUUCUUAGGACACGCUGGAUACUACCGAAGAUUCAUCCAAAACUUCUCCAAGAUCGCUAAACCACUCACCACCUUGACUCAAAAAGGUGUGAUGUUUAAGUGGGCAGAUAAACAAGAAGCCGCCUUCCAAACGUUAAAACAAGCCCUAUGUAGCGCAUCGGUCUUGUCUCUUCCAGAAGGAACAGAUGACUUGGUACUAUAUUGCGAUGCUUCAAAUCAAGGCCUCAGAUGCGUGCUCAUGCAGAGAGGGAAGGUCAUUGCUUACGAGUCAAGACAACUUAAGACACACGAAGUUAACUAGACUACCCACGAACUUGAACUGGGAGCAGUAGUGUUCGCCCUAAAGAUCUGGAGGCACUACCUCUACAGCACAAAGUGCACUAUCUUCACCGAUCACAAAAGUCUUCAGCAUAUCCUCAAUCAAAAAGAGCUCAACAUGCGGCAAAGAAGAAGGGUAGAGCUGCUAAACGAACACGAGUGUGAAAUUCGCUACCACCCGGCAAGGCCAAUGUAGUGGCUGGUGCCCUAAGCAGGAAGGAAUAUUCGGGCCGCCAAGUAAAAUCCUUAACCAUGACCAUCCAUUCCCACCUGGCCACGAAAAUCAAGGAAGCCCAAGUAGAAGCCUUGAAACCAGAAAAUGUGGCAAGCAAAGCAUUAAGAGGGAUGGAUAAAAACUUAGAAGUCAAGGAUGAUGGAACACGUUAUCUCAUGAAUCGGAUCUGGACACCAAAGUUUGGUGGGUUCCGAGACGUUAUCAUGAAUGAAGCACACUAGACUCGAUAUUCCAUCCAUCUAGGUGCGCAUAAAAUGUAUCUAGACCUCAAGAAGUCAUACUGGUGGCCGAACAUGAAAGCCAAGAUUGCUACUUAUGUGGGCAAGUGUCUGACUUGCGCCAAGGUCAUGGUGGAAUACCAGAAACCCUCAGGACAACUACAACAGCCUGAUAUACCUGAGUGGAAGUGGGAACGGAUAACCAUGGACUUCAUAACCAAGCUGCCUAAGACACCAGGCGGGCUUGAUACCAUAUGGGUGAUGGUAGACAGAUUGACCAAGUCUGCUCACUUCCUGCCGAUAAAGGAAACCGACAAAAUGGAGAAGUUAACCAGGAUGUACAUCAAGGAGAUUAUACGACUGCAUGGAGUGCCAAUAUCCAUUAUCUCUAACAGGGAUAGUAGAUUCACUUCACGAUUUUGGCAGUCCUUACAAAAAUCUCUAGGGACUAGGCUUGACAUGAGUACGACCUACCAUCCACAAACCGACGGACAGAGCGAGCGAACCAUACAAACAUUGGAGGACAUGUUGAGAGCCUGUGUGAUAGAAUUUGGUAAGGCAUGGGAUACCCAUUUACCGCUUAUCGAAUUCUCUUACAAUAAUAGCUAUCACACUAGCAUCAAAGUUGCCCCAUUCGAAGCUCUUUAUGAAUGCAAGUGCCGAUCACCCCUGUGUUGGGCAGAAGUAGGGGACACUCAUCUAGCUAGGGGGCAAGUCCCUAAUAGCACCCUCACUAGCCCUGAAAUCAUAAGGGAGACCACGGAGAAGAUAUUCCAAAUUCGAGAAAGACUGAAGGCAUCUCGCGAUCGACAAAAGAGCUACGCAGACAAACGACGCAAACCCUUGGAAUUCCAGGUCGGCGACCGGGUACUACUAAAAGUUUCCCUUUGGAAGGGAAUGAUACGUUUUGGCAAACGCGGGAAACUAAAUGCAAGGUACAUCGGUCCAUUCGAAAUCCUUGCCAGGAUCGGGCCACUAGCAUACAAACUUCGGUUACCUCAAGAACUUGAUAAAGUACAUCCUAGAUUUCAUGUAUCAAACCUAAAGAAGUGUCUGUAUGACGAAACACUCAUAAUACCACUCGACGAAAUCGAAGUUAACGAAAAUCACCACUUCGUGGAGGAACCAGUCGAAAUCAUGGAUCGGGAGAUCAAAAGAACGAAACAAAGUCGUAUUCCCAUUGUGAAUGCAAAACGAGGACCAGAGUUCACCUGGGAACACGAGGGUCAAAUGAAACAAAAAUACCCGCAUAUUUUCCCAAACUCUUGAAGUCCCAGCCUAAAGGUAAAUUUCAGGACGAAAUUCCCUCUAACGGGGGGAUGAUGUGACAAUAGUCAAUUUCGGGUCAAGUCAAAGUCAACGAGUCAAACCGGAUGACUCAGUUAACCCUUGUAUAUUAGGGUUUACGUUAUGUAAUUACUGUACAACUCGCUAUUUUAAUGAGAAAAUAUCAAUUGGAAAAUUCGUGUGUUUGAAUUUCCUUAGCCUUGAUAAUGCUAAACAAUGAACCAAAGCGAUAAAACACUAUUUCACACUCAUCGGGAGUGUGUAGGGCACUAAAACAUGGCUUCAUGGGGUUUACGGAUCCUGCGUUGCGAAGCCAGAUACUCAAAAAGGUCAUAAAUGGAACCUCUCUUAAAUAUCUUUCAAUAUAUAUAUCUUUAUAUUAGAAAUCCCUCCAAGAAUAUGGAAUUUCUCCCAAAUCUCUGUCAAAACUUCCCGUAACUUUUCAUAAUCAUUCGGGUCAUCCCGACCCUUAACUGGGUCAAAAAUCUCUUAAAAUGGGGUUAGAACAGGUAAAAUACCCAAAAAGACCCGAAACCCCCUUUAGAGGGCCGAACCCUCUUGGACCGAAAGCAUCUAGGAAGCGAAACCACUGCUGAGGACCGAACCGAGGGCACCUUUGGGACGAACCUCGCAUGAGGAACCGAAGCCACCUUCGGGUCGAACCCUCCUACCUUCGCCUUCGGUCUAUUUCGCCCCAUUUCGCCUCUAGCCAUUUUGCUUCAUUUCGCCUUCAAGCCCAGCAGCCUUAGGACCGAACCUCAGCCCAGAACCGAGAGGUCUCGUCGAAAGCGAAGUUUUUCCCGGUUUUCGACCACGACUUCAUUUUGGCUUCGUUUUUCAUCGUUUUAACGCGGGAUUUUCACCCAAAACUUUAUUUUAUCAAUUAAAGGCCCAUAAUUCCCUAAUUCCCACGUUUUUGGUGCAAAUCUUAUCCAAGAACUUAGUGGGUGUAGUACAAAGAGUUGAGUGUUGACUUUGCUUUACCUUAUGACACAAGCAACCACCCCCACACCCACUCUAUGACCAGCCACACCUCCCCACCUUACCUAGGUCACUUCAAUGUCCUUUCUACUCAAUCUUCAGCCUCUCCCACAUCCUUAGAGAUGGAACAUCCAACCUCUCUCCUCACUUCACUCAGUUUCUCUCAUUUUACCAAGGAUCAAACUCAACUUUUCUCUCAACCUUUCUCCCUCAAUUUCG